Molecule: long non-coding RNA, 148 nt
Organism: Perognathus longimembris pacificus (Pacific pocket mouse)
Lineage: Eukaryota; Metazoa; Chordata; Mammalia; Rodentia; Heteromyidae
Exons: 3
Source: RefSeq, a predicted model, not a curated record
AAACCACAUUUGCUCUCAGUGCUGAGCAGGACCUGAUAAAAGGUAAGAUGGGAGGGAGGAAUGAAGGGCAAAGGCCAUUUGCAAGUUGCCAUUUGCAAAUGUUCGUGGACUCAAAGGCUAGACUUUGUUCUUCAGAAUCUGGGCAGAG